This is a long non-coding RNA of Chinchilla lanigera (long-tailed chinchilla), 1869 nucleotides long. RefSeq lists it as uncharacterized. The record is from RefSeq and is a predicted model, not a curated record. The transcript has 3 exons. NCBI's taxonomy places the organism in Eukaryota, Metazoa, Chordata, Mammalia, Rodentia, Chinchillidae.
GGGAGAGGCCGGGAGAGCGGGUCCUGUCCCGGGCUCCGGCGGCUGUAAACAGCCUGGCUCGGGCUGCCGGGCGCUGGAAAGUUCGCUGCACCCAGGCGGGACUACCCCUCCGUGAGAAGGGGAAAGCGGGGUGCAGAGCGGCCCGAGGAAGGGGAAGACAAUGGAAGGAAGCCUCGUCUAGACUUCGGCCCCAGCCCCCUCCCUCCUUCCAGCGUGUCCCAAAGCCCGGGCGCUCUCUGAGCCAGUUGGCCACCUUUGUUGCCAUCUCCUCUCCACCGACCGAGGAACGGGGACAGGGGUGAGUCCCUGCUGCCUCGGAAGAGUAUUUUAUUUACAAGAGCAAAUGGGUAGAAAGUGGGCUGCAAGUUCAGAAAUGGCGCUGUUCACAUUGUAAUGCCCAUUUUGCGCCACGCUUGUGCGAGGUUAGGCACACAAAAUGAGUCCCCAGCUGUUCAGACUGUUGGAGAAGACUCAAAGUCCUCCACCAGAUGCUGGCUCCAGACUGCACAGGACUGAAGUCAGCUUGGAUUCCUCAUGAGAAGGCUACCCUGGCAUUACCUUCUAAGCUUCACCUGCAAAAAGACAGGGCAAGAAGGCAGUUGACAGAAGAGUCCAGUCCAAACGGCAUGGAAAGAAACCUGGAAAGAGCAGUUUUCUGGUGGAAAGAAGACGCCUGGUUUGAUCCGCUGCACCCCUUGGCAGCUAUGAUUGUUAACUGUGCUGUGUCAACUUGACUUGAAUGAGAGCCACCGAGCAGGCUGGUAAAGCUCUGGGCAUGUCUGGAUAAUUGACAUGUAGCCCACAAACUGAGGAAGGAAGAUUUCAAGCCCAUCAGAAGCCUAUCAGUCUGGCCUACCUACCCCGAAUGUGAGUGGCACUGACCAAUGGGCUUGUAGCUUGAGCAGAAUAAAAAGAUAAAGAAGAAAAAAAUCUUCCCCUUUCUUUGGAGGAGGAGCUCCUUUGCCAUUGCCUUUGGACAUUUGUCUCCAGUUCCUUCAGGCUUCCAGCCUAGACUCUUCAGCCUUCGCAUGUAGACCCUUUGGCUUUCCCACGUGGACUUGCACCAGACUCUGCAGAGAGGUUCCGGCAUUCGACAUUCAACUAGAUCCUCCAGCUCUCCGGUCUGCAGAUGACCAUGUUGCAUUCUCCUACCCCUGAUUCCAUAGGCAGCCAGCGUAAGCCCACCUUGUAAAACGCAGAUAGAUAGAUAGAUAGAUAUAGAUAAAUAAUUUCUGCUGAAAUAGUGAACUCUAACUGAUACAUCUACCAGGACAUGUGUUUACACACACAGACACACCCAUUUGCAUGAACACAUACACACACACACGCUACUUUUUUACAUGUAUGACUUCAUGGGUGUACCUAUAUCCCUAGCAUAACAGCCAACCCAUAGAUAACCUUCAUGUCCUUGGCUCUUUCCCAGUGCAAGUCAAAUACUAGUGCCCUUCACUUAGGUCACUCCUUUCCUCCCUUCAUCAACUCUGGAUGCGGCUUUUCACAGGCCACCAAUCUGUAGUGGACAAUGGGCUACUCACUCCCUCUCAGGUGUUUAACACAUCAUGGAGAAGGAAUAAAUUUGACACCACCGUAAGAGCGCUCAUUUGGAAGGAGAAGCAAGGGAAGUGAGCAGUUGUCACUGUCAGCCCAUAAUCUGCCUUUGCUUUUCUGGAAGGUAAGGUGGGGAGAAGCUGCGCCAGCCUCCAGGGCUUCCCUCAGCUCUGUUCUUUGGGCAGCUCCGCCUUGUCUGUGGUCCUUCACAGCCACCUUGGAGAGAACCGCUGGGCAUGAAGGCCCUUCCUAGCCCUCCUCCUAGUGGUGGGAAUUCGGAGUCCUUGGGAUAAUUUUAAUACAGAGGUCCCCUUCAACACA